CCUAGGACUUGUCACCCCACCUCCCACUCCAUCCUCAAUCUUCUCAGAAGCCAACAGGACACACAGCUCCCAGAUCCCUCCUCUCUGGUGCAGGAGGCUGGCUUCUUCCAGAGAGAGAAGCAGCCGAGCUUCCAUCUGCAGGGUGGGAGGUACCUGGCCGGAGAAGGUUGUAAGGCCUUUCCUUCCUCUCUGGAUAUUUUCAAUGAGAAGAACAAUGAAAAAGAUGCUUUAUGGGGGAAGUUCUGGAGAUGGAAGACUGCAGUUGCCCUUCUGAAGCCCAGCAGCCUUGGGGCUUCUGGGCUGCUGGCUUUACUAGAUUGCAUUUCUUUUCUUCCCAUCUGCUUAUAAAGUCAGCAUUUACUGAGACUCCUUCACUUCCAAACUGCUAGAACAUCCCGAGACCCACUCAUUUGUCUUCCAGGACACCUCUUGUGGGCAGAUGGAAAGAGUGCAGAGAAGAGGUACCGGGCUCAAAACAAACUCCAAGAAGCAGGAUCUCCAUGAAGAUAGGCACAGAAUGCCGCAGAAGGGAACAGAUCAGAUCAUUCUGGCAGAGACCUGCAAAGAAAGGCUCUUGGAAGAAACAGGGUCUGGCUGCCUCCAGAAGGAUGAGGAGGUGUAUGAAAAGUAUCAAAUCCAGUAAAGAUUGGUGUGGCCUUGACAGAUGUCCUGUGCACCCCGGACCAGCAGGCAGCACGACCACCUCAAUAAGCAGAUAAGGACACUGAGGCCCUAAGAAGGUUGCUCCAUCUCAGGAGAUGGCACCUCCAUUCAGAGGACCCCAGAGUUGUCUGAUUCCUCUCAUGCUCUCCUCUUCAACAACCAGGCCAGCUACAAGUUCUACAUGGAAGUUAUAUUCUGGCCAUCUGAUGCUCCCAGUUCCCAAUGCCAUUCCUGGUGGUGGACACUGCUGUGCUGGCAUUUUCAUACAUACCUGCUCCCAACCCCACAUGCUGGGUCCUUCUCCAGACUCCCUCUUAGAUAAGGAACUUCCAUACCUGGGGUUCUGCCCCAUCCCACACCUGCUCCCCAUAUCCAGUGACUGAUGGAACUGUAGGAUGGAAGCUGGGUCUUGUCUCCUGAUGUGGAACAUCUCUCAGCAGCUCUCCCAGCUGUGGGGCUUCCCUGGGGGGUGGGCUGAGGGCUCUUUUGCAAAGUGGUCACACUUUACUCUUUCUGCCCAAUCUUGUGCUCCUUACUUCCUAUAGGCAUUGCCCUGGAGGGUACUCUCCAGUAAAUUAUUUGCACAAAAGUCAUAGAAGUUCAGAGCCCAUCUCUUGGGACUCCUGACCUACAUCCCUAAUCAAAGCCACCUUGAUUUCUCCCUCACACCACUACAAUGGCUGUCCAACCAGUCUCCCUGAUUUGCCUUUGCAAAAUUAUCUAUUCUCUGUCUAGCAGCCAGAGUGAGCCUCAUAAAACAAAAAUCAGAUCAAUGACUUCUCUGCUUUAACCCUCUACUGCUUUACUGUUGAUCUUGGAAUAAAAUCUAUACUCCCCAGCACAGUCUGCAGUCCCUGCAUGGUCUGCUCCAGCUAUGUCUCUGACCUUGUAUCUUCCUACUUGUCUGCUUCAUCAAAUCUGCUCCAGCCACACUCAGAAUUUUUUCACUUGAUAGCCUUUGCAUUGGCUGCUCCCUGGUCAUUGUAAUGACCAUUCCCAGAUCUUUCCAUGGCUGGGACUCCAGCUCAAAAGCCACCUCUCUAGAGAAAGCCUUCUCCAACCUCCUGGCCCAGUUCAACACCUUUGUGUAGCAUUUCCUGUCACUUCAUUCUGCCUUAUUAUCUUUAAAAUAUGGGUCAUUUUGAAAUCUCA
Molecule: long non-coding RNA, 1815 nt
Organism: Cavia porcellus (domestic guinea pig)
Lineage: Eukaryota; Metazoa; Chordata; Mammalia; Rodentia; Caviidae
Exons: 3
Source: RefSeq, a predicted model, not a curated record